CCUACGGGUGGCAGCAGUGAGGAAUAUUGGUCAAUGGCCGGAAGGCUGAACCAGCCAUGCCGCGUGAAGGUCAGUGCCCUAUGGGCGUUAAACUUCUUUUGUGCGGGAGCAAUAAUGGUCACGUGUGGCCAGACGAGAGUACCGUACGAAUAAGCAUCAGCUAACUCCGUGCCAGCAGCCGCGGUCAUACGGGGGAUGCAAGCGUUAUCCGGAUUUAUUGGGGUUAAAGGGGGCGUAGGCUGUGAGGUAAGUCAGCGGUGAAAUGCCCCCGCUCAACGGGGUGAAGUGCCAUUGAUACUGCCUUGCUGGAAUGCGGAUGCGGUGGGAGGAAUGUGUGGUGUAGCGGUGAAAUGCAUAGAUAUCACACAGAACACCGAUUGCGAAGGCAUCUCACGAAUCCGCGAUUGACGCUGAUGCACGAAAGCGUGGGUAUCAAACAUGAUUAGAUACCCUUGUAGUC
RNAcentral lists this ribosomal RNA (460 nucleotides) under uncultured bacterium. RNAcentral's name for it is "partial 16S ribosomal RNA". It matches the Rfam family "Bacterial small subunit ribosomal RNA", at positions 338 to 795 of the family's 1533-position model. The record is from RNAcentral.